This is a non-coding RNA of Dioszegia hungarica, 122 nucleotides long. Lineage: Eukaryota; Fungi; Basidiomycota; Tremellomycetes; Tremellales; Bulleribasidiaceae. The record is from the annotation of a RefSeq genome assembly.
GUCGGCGCAGCUCAGUGGUAAGAGCACCGAUAUGUCGGGAGAAAGUCGGCCCACCCUGUGACACCCGCAUCUUACUCUCCGCGCACACAUCGGAGGGGCGGGGUCAAAACCCGCCGCCGACA